GCAGUAGCCGCGGGAAUACGUAGGUGGCAAGCGUUGUCCGGAAUUAUUGGGCGUAAAGGGCUCGCAGGCGGUUUCUUAAGUCUGAUGUGAAGGCCCCCGGCCCAACCGGGGAGGGUCAUUGGAAACUGGGAAACUUGAGUGCAGAAGAGGAGAGUGGAAUUCCACGUGUAGCGGUGAAAUGCGUAGAGAUGUGGAGGAACACCAGUGGCGAAGGCGACUCUCUGGUCUGUAACUGACGCUGAGGAGCGAAAGCGUGGGGAGCGAACAGGAUUAGAUACCCCAGUAGUCCCUGUCUCUUAUAC
RNAcentral lists this ribosomal RNA (302 nucleotides) under uncultured bacterium. Its description in RNAcentral is "partial 16S ribosomal RNA". It matches the Rfam family "Bacterial small subunit ribosomal RNA", at positions 508 to 807 of the family's 1533-position model. The record is from RNAcentral.